GCAGUGUAGAGAAAAUAAUGGAAAUUGAUGAGCACAUAGGCUGUGCUAUGAGCGGAUUGAUUGCUGAUGCGCUGACUCUUGUUGAGCAUUCUCGCGUUGAAACUCAGAAUCACAGGUUUUCAUAUGGUGAACCUAUGACAGUUGAGUCAACUACACAGGCUAUAUGUGAUCUUGCUCUUUGAUUUGGUGAAGAAGAUGAAGAAUCUAUGGGCUAUUCUGGUGAUUAUACACGGCCUCAAUGAACAUAGUCUGUCAGACUCUGUCUGUAUGGUUGUUAGUGUCCGGCUCGUUCUAGAGAAUGAAUCUUUUCCUUAAUGGAGGCAGUGGCUUGCAUGAACUGUGAUCCUGGAGUCCUGAAAAUGAUGAGUUUCCAGUCCCUAUCAAAUGGUUGCUAUUGCAUGAACUGUGAUCCGGUCUUCCUACCUAUCCAUAGGAUGAAGACAUCCAUAUCAUUGUAGUUAGUUAUAUGAAUUGCAAUACUAAUUUGAUGCUUUCUAUUUCCAGUGGUAGAUAUACGGAGUUUGCAAAGAAACUCAUGUCGUGCAACUUUGGAGUAUAUGCAAUGGAUUGGACAGGAAAUAAUCAAAGAAUUGAUGGAAAGGCUACCACACAUGAAAGAGCUUAUGGAUAUGUACUGUGGCCCUGAUAGAGUGACUGCAAAGCAACAAAUGCAAGAGUUAGACAGAGUCGCAAAAACUCUACCAGAGAAUAUACCUUCAUCUGUGAAGAGGUUCAUUGAUCGUGCCGUUCUUUCACUUCAAGUUUUCUUUUUUUCAACUUAGUCUAGUUUCCUGUAAAUUUUAUAAUGUGUCAUUCUCUGAAAUGGAAAACAUUGAAUAUGGCAAACUGGAAUAUUUAAACA
Molecule: RNA transcript, 862 nt
Organism: Asparagus officinalis (garden asparagus)
Lineage: Eukaryota; Viridiplantae; Streptophyta; Magnoliopsida; Asparagales; Asparagaceae
Exons: 5
Source: RefSeq, a predicted model, not a curated record